Molecule: non-coding RNA, 3790 nt
Organism: Tetranychus urticae (two-spotted spider mite)
Lineage: Eukaryota; Metazoa; Arthropoda; Arachnida; Trombidiformes; Tetranychidae
Source: RefSeq, a predicted model, not a curated record
UUUUUUUGUCACAUGAUUUUCAUAAUUUUAUAUUACAAAUUUAUCGUCUGUUAAUUGAUUUUGGAUUUUGUUUGUUAAUUUAUUUCGCUGGUUAUUUUAUGAUUCAUUGAUUAUUGUUAAUUUAUUUGGUUUGUGUGUCUUCUUAUGCUUUCAGUUGAAAAUGUAGUUUUAAUUUUUAUGGAAGUGCAACUAACGUAAGAUUGUUUGAUUAGUCUUGAUGGUUAUUUUGCCUGAGAUGAAGUCAAGAGUUUAUUCAAUGGAAAUUGGUUGACUCGAUUAUUGGUGAUGUAUUUUUGAUUAAUUGGAGUUGUCAUUGUUUACUGGAACAUUGAAUCAAUUAUGGAUAUCUUUUGGCAACUAUGGAAUUGUGUAUGACAAGAAUAUCGUAAAUGGAAUCAAUGGUGAAAAUUGUUGAAUUGCUGUUUUUUUUCGCUCUCCUUGCUCUUUUUGGGUCCAACAUCUUGUUCACCUUGUUAAAAAUAUGGAUUUUGGUUAAAGAUGGAAAUGUAUUUAUUUUGUUUAUCCGUCUAUCCAGAGUGUAUUUCAAUCAUUUAUUGGAAAAGCAAAAGUGAUAAAGCAAAAGACAAGUCUAAAAAUGUCAACAUCUUACUUGAGGGGAAAACAGCGAGACAAAGAUGUAAAAAUAAUGUAAAAGAUCAAAAUUGUUUACUGUUGUCUAGGAAAGCGUGAAACCUGAGAUUGAUUCCCAUUCCAUUUGAAAUCCAUGAAGGUUGCUUCCCAAAAACCUUAAGCUUAACAUUUUGUUCACUGUUUCAGCUUAUCUUCACAACCAUUUUGCUCUUGCUUUACUUUUCAUCAUCUUAUAUCAUCAUGCUCAUCAUCAUCAUACUCACUACAAGUUAUCCUUUUGCUUCAACUCCCAGUAGCUUCUGGUUCUUUUGAUGAAAUAACAAGACAGAAUUAAGGUGUUAAAGAUGAACAAAAAUAGUGGAAACAACAACAAACAGAUGAAAAGCAAACCAAGUGACCAAGCAAAAGGAGGAAAAGGCAAAAUUUGAUAUGAGAUUCGUUAUAAAGUAUGGACCGAGUUUUACCAGGAUGGAGGAAAAUUUCAGCCUUUUUUUCCCUUGAGUCAAACAAGAAUAAUCUUGAUUACAUUGAGAAUACUUUUCUAUGUAUACAAACUGAAUGGUGAACAUUUCCAAUGCACUUUAUACGCUCUCUUUUAUCUCUUGUGGUUACCAUCAUCCUCAAGUCAAACCGGUCUAAUCUUGGGUUUGUGAUCCAUUCUUUUAACCAAAAAAUGAAGGCCAAAGAAUGGAAAAAGAUAAAAAGAUGAAAAAAAGAUGAGAACCUUGAGUUGGCAUCAUAUUUCACAUUACAAUCCAAUCCAAAUGCUUCCGGGACUCUUCUUUAGUUUCCUUUAUUUCCAUCAUCAUCUCAUUCUGGAUCUUCACCAUCUUUCAUCGUUUUUCAUCAUUUUAUUCAUCGUCAUCAGUAUAAUCACAUUCUUACUUUUGUCUGUCCAAAUUUCCCUUUUACCCUGUUUGCCUUCAAAAAUUCAAGAAGAGGAUAAAACUGUGAAUUCAAUGAUGAUGAUGGUAAUAAUAAUGAUAAUAAUGGUGAUAAAAAAUGUUAAUGUUGACGAUGAGUUAAAUGUGUUAUCAAAAAAAGAGAGUAAACCAUUCAACGAACAAGCUUAGGAAAGCUUUUUGUACAGCAAUAGUUUUGAUUACCAAUUAACAGUUUCUUGUAAUACAACAAAUCGACUGUUUGCAUAGCUUAAUCAAUCCACCCUGAGAGUUAGAAUGUUUAAUUUAGCAAAUUUCAUCUCUUAUCUUGAGAAGGCAAAUCAUUUGACUGUCUAUUAUCAUUACCGUUCAACUUUACUUGUUUUCCUUGUUGAUACAGGUGAAAAUAAUUCAUGUCAAGAAUAAAAUCAUCUUUAAGUUGAAGGUGUAUUUAAUAGAAGGAUAAUGCUAAAAAAAGAAGGUGAAAAUAAACGGAAAAAGAUGAGCAAAUCAGUAAAUGAAAGGAUUUUGUGUUUCAACAUCUUUUCAUUCCAGUUUCAUCAAAGCUCAAUUUGACUCAUCUCGUCAUUUUCAUUUUUCAUCAUGAAAGUGGAAAAACUCUCAACAAAAAGCUCCAUCCUUUCAUCUCAUUGUUUCCAGCAUGAAACACACAUUAAACAACAACUCGAUUCCAUCUCCUGCUCAUUAUCACACUCAUCAUCAUCACCAUCCUUUUUAAAACCAAAACCAUUCUCAGUUAAUAUUUAUUUUGGUCGAUCAUAAUUACAUCUUCCUCAUGAGGUUCUGGGCUUGAUUUUCAAGCUUAUCUCAGGAACACAACUUGAUGAGAGUUUAAACAAGUAAACUUGAAACCAUGGAAGUGAUGGCAAAAAAAUGGAAACAGAAGCAAAAGGAUUUUUUUUCUUCGUCAGAGAAUGGAAAAGGAAAAAAGAAAGUGCAACAACAAAAGUUCAUCAAAUGUUCAUCAAAUGUUGAUCAACUUGGGAAAGAGAGGAAAAUGGACAAAGCAAGGAUUGAACAAUUUAACAGCAUUUAAUGAAACUUGGCAAGUCUUUACCGUUUUCACUGUCGAUUAAUUUUUUUCACUCCUAAACCAACGAAAAAAAUGAUCUCAAUUGGACCAUAAUUGGAAUUUGGAAAUGUCUUGAUAAAUCUUUUUCUCACUCCCAGUCAAUCUAAUAUCCAUCUAAUGCUACUUAUCAGUAAAGAUGUAAUAUUAUAGAUAAAAAGUUAUAUAUUUAUUAUUUUGUCAGUUGAAGUCACUCCCAGUUUACCAGCUAAAUAUUAUCUUCAUAUUGGUCUUGUCCGAACAACUUGGAUAUAACAUUUCGUUGAGUGUUUUGUUUCAUUGAACCAGGUCAAUGGAAAGGAGAGAGAGAGAAAAGAGAAAGAUGGAAAUUCCGUUGGAAUGAACAUGCUCAGAUAAUUGAUUGCAACAGCAGAUACACUUCAACAGAUAAAAGUUCAACUUCUCAUGACCUUUGAAUAACUACUUUUUUCUCUGCUGAACUUCUUUUCUCUGUUUUCUCUCUUUUUCCUUGCUACUGCUUUUGCCUUGUUAUGCUUUUAGCAAGGAAACAGAAUUAUCAUAACAGAACAAAAGAGAUGAUAAAAUCUCAUGAUAACUUUUCUGUGUUCAUCUUUUAACACACAAAGUGUUAUCAAUAUUUUUCCAUUAACAGUAAAACUUGAAUCAGCAAACUUGAUUCAUUGCAACUCAAAUUAUUAUCACAAUCAACUUGAAUCAAUUAGAUUUACCAAUUAACUUUUUUUCCCCAUUCAAAUUAGCCUUUCACUUGUAUUUUUGCUCUUCACUUUCUGUUGGGAUUUUCAUCUUUUUUUUUCAUCAACAACUUUAUCCUUUUGUUAAUAACGCAAGUUUUAAUCAUGAAUAAUGAUGAGAAUGAUUUAUUAACUGAAACUUGUAUGUUAAUCAAAAAUUUUGCCCUCAAAAAAUGGUGACAAUGUUAAGUAACAAUUAUGAUAUUCAAUUAUUAUGAUAAUAUUGAAAUGAGUUAUCAUUGAGAAGCGACACAAAAGUAUAUUUUUCAAACCAAUUUGUGCCUUUUUUUAUAAAUUUAAUAACCUGAGAAGCAAAAAAAUGUGUUCAAUAAUCAAAUGUCAAUUUGUCAAAUGUUCAAUUACGGUGAAGAUUGUAGCAUCAGUUGACGGUGAAAAAAAGGUGAAGUUGAAUAUCGCUUUGAAUUUUAUGAUGAACAAGAAAAAGCUUAACUUGAAUUUAAUAGAAACAAAACCUUUAAAAGAAUCAAAUAAUAUUUUUCUUUUUUCUCUCCUUU